UACGUAGGGUGCGAGCGUUAAUCGGAAUUACUGGGCGUAAAGCGUGCGCAGGCGGUUCGCUGUGUCCUGUGUGAAAGCCCCCGGGCUUAACCUGGGAAUGGCAUGGGAAACUGGCGGGCUGGAGUGUGGCAGAGGGGGUGGAAUUCCGCGUGUAGCAGUGAAAUGCGUAGAGAUGCGGAGGAACACCGAUGGCGAAGGCAGCCCCCUGGGCUAACACUGACGCUCAGGCACGAAAGCGUGGGGAGCAAACAGG
This 253-nucleotide ribosomal RNA is filed under the name uncultured bacterium. RNAcentral's name for it is "partial 16S ribosomal RNA". It matches the Rfam family "Bacterial small subunit ribosomal RNA", at positions 524 to 776 of the family's 1533-position model. The record is from RNAcentral.